This 283-nucleotide long non-coding RNA is filed under the name Rosa chinensis. RNAcentral describes it as "sRNA RchiOBHm_Chr5g0013821". Lineage: Eukaryota; Viridiplantae; Streptophyta; Magnoliopsida; Rosales; Rosaceae. The record is from RNAcentral.
GGUGGAAGACGGAGGUACAGUCCAAUGACUUCGUCUUCAUUCUCUCAAGUCUGAUUGUCUCAACUAACUUCUGAAAACCCAAACCUCCUCAAAACCUUCAACCCAGUCUCUGCGACGGUCGACGGCAGCGGCACGACGACCUCGUCUCGUUCUCGCGACAUCACUCUGUCAGUCUCAAUCUCUUUUGGUGGCGGAGCAGAAGAAAGAAAAGAAAAAAAUAAGAAGGGGUCGGGAAAGAGAGGAGAAAGAAGAGGAUAUGGAUGGAAGAAGUCAAGGUAUCUGA